UACGAAGGUCCCAAGCGUUAUCCGGAUUUAUUGGGUUUAAAGGGUGCGUAGGCGGGUUAUUAAGUCAGUGGUGAAAGCUCCCGGCUCAACCGGGAAAUUGCCAUUGAUACUGAUGAUCUUGAGUGUGGUUGAGGUGGGCGGAAUGUGUCAUGUAGCGGUGAAAUGCUUAGAUAUGACACAGAACACCGAUUGCGAAGGCAGCUCACUAAGCCACAACUGACGCUGAUGCACGAAAGCGUGGGGAGCAAACAGG
RNAcentral lists this ribosomal RNA (253 nucleotides) under uncultured bacterium. RNAcentral's name for it is "partial 16S ribosomal RNA". It matches the Rfam family "Bacterial small subunit ribosomal RNA", at positions 524 to 776 of the family's 1533-position model. The record is from RNAcentral.